This is a long non-coding RNA of Gavialis gangeticus (Gharial), 145 nucleotides long. RefSeq lists it as uncharacterized. The transcript has 4 exons. The record is from RefSeq and is a predicted model, not a curated record. NCBI's taxonomy places the organism in Eukaryota, Metazoa, Chordata, Crocodylia, Gavialidae.
GGGACAGAAGUUGAGUAAAUUGUUUUAACCUAAAUCAGUUAAGUCUGAUACUGCAUCCACCCAGCUUUAUCUUAUACCAGUUUUAGCCAUCUUGAAAGUGGUUUAUGUGCACUGAACUUCUGUUGUUAUAGGUUUAAAUCAGUUU